CCAUAUGACCCUUAAUGCACACGCACCUGAUCUCUGAUCUCAGAAGCUAAGCACUAUUGGCCCUGGUUAGUAUAUGGAUGGAAGGAAAAUUAUAAAAUUGUCUAGUACAAACCAAGCAGGCUGCUAUAAGGC
This 132-nucleotide ribosomal RNA is filed under the name Macaca nemestrina (pig-tailed macaque). Lineage: Eukaryota; Metazoa; Chordata; Mammalia; Primates; Cercopithecidae. The record is from RNAcentral.